CACUAAGAAGCUUAUAUAGCAUCAGCCUUUUAAGCUGGGGAAGAAACAACACUUUCCUUAGUGA
Molecule: transfer RNA, 64 nt
Filed under: Protobothrops mangshanensis
Lineage: Eukaryota; Metazoa; Chordata; Lepidosauria; Squamata; Viperidae
Description: tRNA-Lys
Rfam family: tRNA
About the family: Transfer RNA (tRNA) molecules are approximately 80 nucleotides in length. Their secondary structure includes four short double-helical elements and three loops (D, anti-codon, and T loops).
Source: RNAcentral